UUCCUCUUGUCCGUCUGUCCGUCUGUCCGUCUGUCUGUUUACGACUCUUUUGCAUCAAUUGAUGCUAAUUAAUUUGCCCCAUGUGCAAAUUAUAGCAAAUUAGUAGCACCAUUGGUCUCGAACAGUCGGUAACACAAAAUGGUGCCAAACAAUUGAGAACAUAGAUGCAAAACACACCAAACGUGCAUAAGAACCGAAAAAAAUAACUAGAAUUUUUACUUUGAAUUUGUCACGAUUUUAUGUCAAAAUUAUGUAUGCAUUUUCCUCGUUUAUUUUCCACCAUUGAUGGAAAAUUAUAUCACAAUUAUGUGUAUCUUUUGUCCGCCCAUUCGGCACCAUUAAUGCAAAAUUAUGCCAAAAUUGUGUAUCCAUUUUAUGUGCCAAUUCUGCACCAUUGGUGCAAAAUUAUGCUAAAAUAAUUAUUGCAGGGUGAGCUACUUCUAACGUUACAACGGUUUAUUUAAGUAAUUUUGAAGUGCAAUAUUUCUCAAAAUGAUUUUAAACUUUAGUCUAAUCCAAAAGUUUGAACAUUGAGAUUCAAGAAACCAAUGCACUUACUAAGGCGACGAAAUUUCGCUUUGAUGUUUUAGACAGUUUGGCCGCUAGCUAGUUAUAAUUCGAAGGAUCGGAUUAAGUUGGAGUUCUUAAAAUACUUCGAAGAUAAAUAAAGUGCGGCAAAGCACGAUACAUAAGUAGCGCAAUAAUGCUGAGAAUGCUGAGAAUGCUGAGAAUAAAUUUGCGCAAUUAAAUAAUUAAUUAAUUGAUUAAUUAAUUAAUUAAUUAAUUCAUUAGAAUUAAUUAAUUGAUCACACCGCGACCGCACCCCCUGUCGUCGAGGGGGUGUGGCACAAUUCAGAUACACGUAAUUUAACUGGAUUUCAUCCAUAGAUUAAUUUGCGCCAUAAAUCUCAUUUUGCCCCGAUCACACCGCGACCACACCCCCUGGUGCCGAGGGGGUGUGGUCCAAAAGUUUACGGGAUCCUCCCCUGGGGUCAUGUGUAUGAUGCCGCAAACCGAUUUCGAUUAUCUUGAUGCGUUCUCGAGUUAUAGUGUUGACCGACAGACAGACAGACAGACAGACAGACAUCCUAACUAACCAAUCGCAUAAAAUAGCUUGCGCUACUUAAUAAGGGAGUUGCAUAUUGAAAAGCUGUUCUCAUCUUCAACAAUUAGAAGCAUUUUUUAAAUUUACAACAACUUCUCUUCCUCUACUCCUGAUGAAACAGAUUUUAUUUAUGCUGGCAUGAUUUUGUAUGCAAAGCGUUCAAAUUAGCAGAUAAAUUAUUUGAAGCUAUCUUUGCUACAGAGGUGCGUUAAAUAAUGCACGAAUUAUUAUGGUCGAUCCAGAAAGUACUGAGCUAUGGAAUUCUCGGGAGGCUAAAUGGCCGACCUCGCCAUAAGAAAUAACAUGUAGAGUUUGAAAAUUCACCGUAAGGUCAGUUCUUGACCGAUUUUCAAAAUCCCGCCCGUUUUGGAAGCAUUGAACCCUUGGGCGAAAUACGUAAGAAAGAUUUUUAAUAUUCGACCCCAUUCCCCCGUUAUUGAGGUCACAAGGUCAACAAACAAGUAGAAAUUAUUUAUAGAAUUUGAAAUUUCUACGACCGUAUUCGAAGGUCGUCGACGUAAAUUCUUGGCAACAGAGAAACCAGAUUUAAAUAAUUUCCUCAAUUGAUAAAGUUUAACAACAGCUUGAGAGACAAUUUUGGAAAUGUGAUAACUCCACUCAUACUUCGAAGUGAAAUGUACCCCAAAUAAUUUUAGCUUAUCAACAACAGGAAUUUUAACAUUAUUAUAUAAAAAUCAAUCAAUAAAAAUCACUACUUCAAGAACUAGUGUAAAUUCUGGGUUAUGACAGCAUAUUGCGAAUUUUGUAAUUUAAAUACGUAUGCACUUGUGCUUUAAGACAAAGCUUAACUCGAACUGUAAUUACUGCUAAAAAUUUGAAUUACUUAUGUAAGUAUGUAUCUAACAGAAAAUGCAAAAUAAACUGUGAUUCGAAAAAGCCCUUGAUACCUUAUUGUCUGGGGAUUAAGAUUAGACCCAAUUUUGCAUGGCAUUCUUAAAUAUACAGACCAUAAUGUUAGGUAAGAGUGUCUGGCAUGUAUUCAUAAGACGUGACUACCAUUACCACAUGAGUCAUUAUUUUUGUUACAAUAUUACAAUUCCGUAUUCAUGUAAAAAUUUCUAUUUGAACUUCAACAAUACGAUGUACCCACAAAAGCCAUACAAAUGUGCUUGCAUGAAAUAUAAACAAGGCGUCUCAUAAUAUUUCAAAAAAUAAAUGAAUUUAUACGAUGAGUUUUAUGAAAAACUAUCGAAAUUCAGAGUAAUUAACCAACAUUAAAAACAAAUUUGCGAAAAACGUUCAAGUCUUAUCGCUUCACCAAAAGACAUGAAACCGUUUGUCUCACACAGAAUUCCUGUACCACAAGUGGGGUCAACGUUUCUACGAAAUUAUUCCCAAACUCCAACCUCAACGACAUCAGCGAUUUGUGCAUCCUUCUCUCUAAUUUUUUGUCACCGCUCCCCUUAAACUUUGCGAUCCAAUUUACACUCAAACUAUUAAUCUGCGCCGCCGCAGAGAACAAUAACAUUGUAAAAACCAGGACAAGAAAGUAAGCCCAUAGGAACAAAGAUGCCUCAAAGUUGGAGAUGUGCUCAGAAUGAAAUAAUUUGAGGGACGUGUAACACAAUAAAAUUUGCAAGCCUGGCACUAAAAGUGCCGUGAUGAGGAAAAUUCGUGAUUUUGUGCAAUAAUUUAACAGUUUUUCGUAAACUUUUAGCUCCUUGUAGGCCAGAAGCCAGGCAAUAUUGCCAGCCGGGGUGUAACCAUGGACAAAGGUUGUGCAGGACAUCCACAAAAAUGAGAUUCCAUGGAGUAAUACAGUUGCCAGAUGGUGGUGUGACUUUGUCCGGUGAGAAGGCCGCCAUCCUUGCAGAAUAGACAGCUUAACUGGAUGGGCUGACAACGAGUUAGAAUCGUGAGGGUGGAUAUGAUCACGGACAGGAACAAACUUGUCACCUCAGCAGCGCCGUAUAAGAAAUUGAUGCAGAGUUGGAGCUUAGUGCCACCUGGGAAUAGUUGAAUGGAUUAAUGAUAGGAAAUUGGAUUUUACACGGGGCGGAAAAUUACACCACGGGGAGUGGAUAUUCAUACAUUUCUGAGUGGGAAUGGGAGACUUCCGGCUGUGUCAAAUCCUUCACAGGAUCUCGUCCCAAAUCCCUGAGAAUGACAGGAGUACCCGGAUCGAUAAACGCACCGAGCAUUAAUUUCUACCCGGAGGCUGACUUCGAGGGAGAACAUACCCUAGUGGCUGAUGACAUCCCGGAUGUGGACCUACAGAUCUGUUAUGGUCACCGGUCGCAGUUCUUAUUGGCUGCUGUAUCCAGCUGUACCUCGGUUUUCCUGCCUGUGUGGAUAAUACGAAUUAUAAUACCUCCUCGAUAAGAGUGAGGUCUGUUAAGAGACACACGGAAAGGUGCCCGUGCCUCUUUUGUGACAAGGUGGAACAGAAACAGCCAAACAUUGUGCGAAUUGCUAAACCCGUUUGAAAUCAUGAUUAUGUAAUAUCAAUUUAUGUAAAAUAAACAAAUGCACCUUUGUUGAGUAUGUGUUUAAGAGUACAAAAACAAAAUA
Folsomia candida is the source of this 3637-nucleotide long non-coding RNA. RefSeq lists it as uncharacterized. The record is from RefSeq and is a predicted model, not a curated record. The transcript is spliced from 3 exons. Lineage: Eukaryota; Metazoa; Arthropoda; Collembola; Entomobryomorpha; Isotomidae.